CCCUUAGAUGUCCUGGGCCGCACGCGCACUACACUGAUGCAUUCAACGAGUUCUACCUUGGCCGAGAGGCCUGGGCAAUCUUUUGAACCUGCAUCGUGAUAGGGAUAGAUUAUUGCAAUUAUUAAUCUUGAACGAGGAAUUCCUAGUAAACGCAGAUCAUCAAUCUGCAUUGAUUACGUCCCUGCCCUUUGUACACACCGCCCGUCGCACCUACCGAUUGAAUGGUCCGGUGAAGCCUCGGGAUUGUGGCGAGUUCCCUUUAUUGGGAGUUUGUCGCGAGAACUUGUCUAAACCUUAUCAUUUAGAGGAAGGUGAAGUCGUAACA
This 325-nucleotide ribosomal RNA is filed under the name uncultured eukaryote. RNAcentral describes it as "partial 18S ribosomal RNA". It matches the Rfam family "Eukaryotic small subunit ribosomal RNA", at positions 1470 to 1796 of the family's 1831-position model. The record is from RNAcentral.